This 403-nucleotide ribosomal RNA is filed under the name uncultured bacterium. RNAcentral's name for it is "partial 16S ribosomal RNA". It matches the Rfam family "Bacterial small subunit ribosomal RNA", at positions 29 to 526 of the family's 1533-position model. The record is from RNAcentral.
AUUGAACGCUGGCGGCAGGCCUAACACAUGCAAGUCGAGCGAGCGGCGGACGGGUGAGUAAUGUAUGGGGACUGCCCGAUAGAGGGGGAUAACUACUGGAAACGGUGGCUAAUACCGCAUACUAUCGGAUAACCCAGAUGGGAUUAGCUAGUAGGUGGGGUAAAGGCUCACCUAGGCGACGAUCUCUAGCUGGUCUGAGAGGGUGAGCAGCCACACUGGGACCGGGAAACGGCCCAGACUCCUACGGAGGCAGCAGUGGGGAAUAUUGCACAAGGGGGGCAAGCCUGAUGCAGCCAUGCCGGGUGUAUGAAGAAGGCCCUAGGGUUGUAAAGUACUUUUAGCGGGGAGGAGUUAACCGCAGAAGAAGCACCGGCUAACUCCGUGCCAGCAGCCGCGGUAAUUC